This 203-nucleotide ribosomal RNA is filed under the name uncultured Lactobacillus sp. Its description in RNAcentral is "partial 16S ribosomal RNA". It matches the Rfam family "Bacterial small subunit ribosomal RNA", at positions 159 to 356 of the family's 1533-position model. Lineage: Bacteria; Bacillati; Bacillota; Bacilli; Lactobacillales; Lactobacillaceae. The record is from RNAcentral.
GAUGCUAAUACCGGAUAACAACAGAUGAUGCCUAUCAACUGUUUAAAAGAUGGUUCUGCUAUCACUCUUGGAUGGACCUGCGGUGCAUUAGCUAGUUGGUAGGGUAACGGCCUACCAAGGCGAUGAUGCAUAGCCGAGUUGAGAGACUGAUCGGCCACAUUGGGACUGAGACACGGCCCAAACUCCUACGGGAGGCAGCAGNG